Protopterus annectens (West African lungfish) is the source of this 691-nucleotide long non-coding RNA. RefSeq lists it as uncharacterized. The record is from RefSeq and is a predicted model, not a curated record. The transcript has 5 exons. Lineage: Eukaryota; Metazoa; Chordata; Ceratodontiformes; Protopteridae.
UGGAAAAAAAAAAAAAAAAGGCAGUUGUAUCCCAGGAUGCAGUGCAACAGCUAGCUAUAAGAUAAGGCUCGCGGGAAACUUUCGUUCUCUUUUUCAAGACGCUUGAUAAGAUGCUAGUACUUUCUACCGAAGACGUUUUUCAAGGUUGCAGUAUGGAUAUUGAGCUGAACUGUGAAGGUGGAGUGCGCAGAAGUUACCAGGUUUUUUGAAUAUGAAGAAAGGAAGUCUUAUUGGGUCUCAUGAGUUUGUGCAACUUGUGGGUAUUUCUGGGUCCUCGUAUGGUGAGGAUACUGUCAUGAGCAUGAAAAGGAACAGACACCUGGACUCGUGUGAACAAGCUGAGCUGAGGUGCUUCUUGGAUGUAGAGUGGAAAGACAAGGAAGGAUUUGACUAUCUGCAUGCUUGCAACUUUCCAGGAUAACAUUGGAACUUCUGCAUCCAGGCAUAAAGGUGGUGCUCAUGUAAAACACUCAAGUAGUCUGAACGAGAGCAAUGUCCAGUAAAUCCUUGGCACAGUGAAUUUGACGCUGUUGUAUCGGCUGGUGUCUGGAAAUGCUUGAGGAUCUACAAAGUAGAAAACAGUGUCUAGUUGACAAUGGCAAAAUUAGUUUCUUACAAAGUUAGCAAAGCUUCUGCAUUGGCUGAAGCUUUCCUGAUUAAUGGAAUAAAGUUGUAUUUGCAGUCCUUGUAA